UUUCAAAAUGAUUUCAAAUUCAAAGUUUUUAGUUAGUUGGCUUUUAGAUAGAUUUUAAAAAUUUGUAGAAAGUAAAAAUAGAAAUUAUUGCUUUAUUUAGAAUUUAGUUGAUACCUGUGGACAAUUUAAAAAUAUUCCAAGCACAAAAGAUUACAUUACCCUUUGAAACCAUUGGUGUGUCUUGGAAGUGUAGCGCAUUCAUCCAAGAUGAUUUAUUAUCAGCAUCGUAGAUGAAUAUGGAUGAAUGGAAUUUGUCUUCAGUGCUCUAUAAGUUUGUACUAUGGAGGGCUUUAAAAGUCGGAGGUACAAACUAUGGAGGCCUUUUAGCCUCCAUAGUUUGUACCUCCAGCUUUUAAAGCUUUGUAAGGGAUAUUGUAAUGAGGAGUUCAUCAAACAUCAGCAUAAUAUUCCAGGCUAUUAUGAAUAUUUUUACUGAAAAAUGAGCAGUAUGUUUUGUAGUAACAUUAAGCAGUAUUUCGAUGAUAUACGGGGCCCUGGGAUCUCUUGUACACAGUAUCUUUAAGUAUAUUUCGGUUUUAUUUAUUUAUUUUUUAAACUUUUGAAAACGUUACACUUUAAAAUUAUUAUAACAGGCGUAUUUUUAACACUAAACCCUUUAGAAUAUCACUUUCUUACUUGUAUUUUAUCAGUUCAACAUAACUAAACUCUUUCAACAUUUUAAUUCAGCUCAAAACGCCACUUCUUAAACUUGCAACACAUUUUCGCUCAUUUAAAUUGGAAACAAAGCGCGGGUAAAUGGUUACAGCGCCAUUUCGUCCUCGUGGUGUCUUUCGGAACUAUACGCAUGAGUGGCGCCACUCAGCGAGCGAUUGCCAAAACUUAUUAAUGUUUUCUGUAAUUUGUUGAAUUGUGGCGACACCUAUCGACUAGUACGCUAACGUUUAGCAGUUUUAUUACGGAUUUCUGUAACGAAUAUGUUGCGGCAUCUAUUAAUUAAUAACCGAACUUUAAAUAUUAAAUUAAUUAAUUUCGAGAAUCCUGUAAUUUUUUGUAUCAAAAAAUUGUUUAAUAAGCGCCAUCUCUAUGUGAAAUUUUACACUAUAUUUAAUUUUUUAACCGUAUAAUUUACAUUUUUAAACGUUUUUAGUUAAAUUUUAACUUGGAUUAAGAAAAAAACGUCGGCUUUGUUUAAGAAAGGAGCUGAUUUUUGUUUAGAAGGUAUGCCAAUAUUACUGCCCCUAAGAAACACUGGAAAUAUUGUAUGCUGCAAUUGUUCGGAAGACAUGGGCCUGAAAUUGGAAUAAGAAUAGUAUGGUAUAUUGCACUAUACACUUGAAUUUGCGCUAUGGACUAAAGAAAAGGGAAGAUUUGAAGGUAUUUGAUGACGAGAAGCAAGAAGAUGUUGAGCCCAUAGUUGAAAGAAAAUGUCCUAAAUUUGAUAAUAAUAAAAUGUUUAAUGCUGCAAUUCAACAUAAGUCACUUGAUGAAGGGCAGACAGUGUCUUAUACUUGAACACAAAAUAUAACUACGAGGAAAGUGAAAUUUUUUAAGACAACUGCCUUUUUUAUAUACUUCUUUGCAUCUUUUUGGAGUGAUAAAUAUGAAUCCCUUAAAUAUAACAAUGAUUUCUACAUGGAUAUACAGUACUUAUGAGAGCCUGCUCAAGAAAUUACAGAAUUAAAUGUGCAGUCCUUUCUUCUCAAUGAAGAAUCUCUUCAUAUACAAGCUUGAACGAGUCAAAAGCAUUGUGGAAUGGACAGAAAUUUGCCAUUGUCAUGAUUAAAGUGAUAUCUGUGUGAGUGAUGGGAACAGCUUGAAGGCCCUUUGAAUACCAAUUAGCUCAUAGUAUAGGAAAUAACAGUAAAUCUUAAAGUCAAGCAAGCAAGCAUACAGUUUCACUGCAGCAAUCUGACAGUGUCCAGGAUGUCCUUGAUGGAAUAUAAAGAAAAUAUGAAUUUACCAAGAUUCAGACAUACAUAUAUAUAUCCAGUCCAAGAUGAGAAAUGUUAAUAUAUGAUGUAUACAAUGAAAGUAUUUUGCUUUCUACUGGCCAGCAUUAAGUCCUUUGUAAAAUGGGUUAAAUAUUAACUCCAGAUGAUGGCCUGAUAUACAGACAAUUGAAGCUUUUUAUGUAUGUAACCCAGAGCCAUGUAGAAGAAUCAAGAUAACAAUGUAGAAGAAUCGACUGGUGAAGGGGUAUUGAAAUGGGGGGAUUUCUAUAUGGAUAAACAAUAUUUAUGAGAGCCAAAAUGUGCAGUCCUUUCUUCUCAAUGAAGAAUCUCUACAUAUACAAGCACGAACGAGUCAAAAGCAUUGUGGAAUGGAGAAAGAUUAGAAAUUUGCCAUUGUCAUGAUUAAAAUGAUAUCUGUGUGAGUGAUGGAAACAACUUGAAGGCCCUUUGAAUACCAAUUAGCUCGUAGUAUAGGAAAUAACAGUAAAUCUUAAAGUCCAGCAAGAGAGCAUACAAUUUCGCUGCAGCAAUCUCACAGUGUCCAGGAUGUCCUUGAUGGAAUAUAAAGAAAAUAUGAAUUUACCAAGAUUCAGACAUACAUAUAUAUAUCCAGUCCAUGUAGAAGUUUCCAUCCCCAUCUCCAUGAUCCAGGUCCACUACGUGCAACUUUUUUUAAACCUUGUAUAUUGUAUUUAUUUUAUU
Molecule: long non-coding RNA, 2615 nt
Organism: Sitophilus oryzae (rice weevil)
Lineage: Eukaryota; Metazoa; Arthropoda; Insecta; Coleoptera; Curculionidae
Exons: 10
Source: RefSeq, a predicted model, not a curated record